This 611-nucleotide ribosomal RNA is filed under the name Micrococcus sp. Its description in RNAcentral is "bacterial SSU rRNA". It matches the Rfam family "Bacterial small subunit ribosomal RNA", at positions 49 to 673 of the family's 1533-position model. Lineage: Bacteria; Bacillati; Actinomycetota; Actinomycetes; Micrococcales; Micrococcaceae. The record is from RNAcentral.
UGCUACCAUGCAAGUCGAGCGAUGAAGCCCAGCUUGCUGGGUGGAUUAGUGGCGAACGGGUGAGUAACACGUGAGUAACCUGCCCUUGACUCUGGGAUAAACCUGGGAAACUGGGUCUAAUACCGGAUAGGAAUGUCCAUCGCAUGGUGGGUGUUGGAAAGAAUUUCGGUCAUGGAUGGACUCGCGGCCUAUCACCUUGUUGGUGAGGUAAUGGCUCACCAAGGCGACUACGGGUAGCCGGCCUGAGAGGGUGACCGGCCACGCUGGGACUGAGACACGGCCCAGACUCCUACGGGAGGCACCAGUGGGGAAUAUUGCACAAUGGGCGAAAGCCUGAUGCAACGACCCCACGUGAGGGAUGACGGCCUUCGGGUUGUAAACCUCUUUCAUUAGGGAAGAAUCGAAAGUGACAGUACCUGCAAAAUAAGCACCGGCUAACUACGUGCCAGCAGCCGCGGUAAUACGUAGGGUGCGAGCGUUAUCCGGAAUUAUUGGGCGUAAAGAGCUCGUAGGCGGUUUGUCUCGUCUGUCGUGAAAGUCCGGGGCUUAACCCCGGAUCUGCGGUGGGUACGGGCAGACUACAGUGCAGUAGGGGAGACUGGAAUUCCUGG